This 699-nucleotide ribosomal RNA is filed under the name Hyloscirtus lindae (Linda's treefrog). Its description in RNAcentral is "partial 12S ribosomal RNA". It matches the Rfam family "Bacterial small subunit ribosomal RNA", at positions 337 to 1414 of the family's 1533-position model. The record is from RNAcentral. Lineage: Eukaryota; Metazoa; Chordata; Amphibia; Anura; Hylidae.
CCCACAAGGGAAUUCAGCAGUAAUUAAUAUUGAAUAUAAGCGCCAGCUUGAUUCGGUUAAAGUAGAAAGGGCCGGCAAAUAUGGUGCCAGCCGCCGCGGUUACACCACAUGACCCAAAUUGAUCCCCUACGGCGUAAAGCGUGAUUAAAGUUAUUAAAUAUUGUAGUCAAACUAUUAAUGAACUGUAAUACGUUUUUAUUUAGGAAACUCAAAAACGAAAGUUACUACAUACAAAACAACUUGAAUUCACAAUAGUUAGGUCACAAACUAGGAUUAGAUACUCUACUAUGCCUAACUGUAAACUUUUAAUUUACACCAAAAUCGCCUGGGAACUACGAGCAAAGCUUAAAACCCAAAGGACUUGACGGUACCCCAUAUCCCCCUAGAGGAGCCUGUCCUUUAAUCGAUAUUCCCCGUUUAACCUCACCAUUUUUAGCCAAUCAGUCUGUAUACCUCCGUCGUCAGCUUACCACGUGAGUGACUUUAAGUAAGCUAAAUGUUUAUUUUACAUCAAUACGUCAGGUCAAGGUGCAACUAAUAAAAUGGAAAGAGAUGGGCUACACUCUCUAAUAUAGAACACACAAAAGACUAACUGAAAACUAGUUGUGAGGUGGAUUUAGAAGUAAAAAAAAACUAGAGAGUUUUUUUUAACACGGCACUGGGGUGUGUACACACCGCCCGUCACCCUCUUUGAUAGCC